CCAGACUCCUACGGGAGGCAGCAGUGGGGAAUAUUGCACAAUGGGGGGAACCCUGAUGCAGCGACGCCGCGUGGGUGAAGGAGUAUUUCGGUAUGUAAAGCCCUAUCAGCAGGGAAGAACAAUGACGGUACCUCCAAAGGAAGCACCGGCUAACUCCGUGCCAGCAGCCGCGGUAAUACGGAGGGUGCGAGCGUUAAUCGGAAUCACUGGGCGUAAAGCACGCGUAGGCGGCUUUUCAAGUCAGGGGUGAAAUCCCACGGCCCAACCGUGGAACUGCCUUUGAAACUGUACUUCUUGAGUGCUGGAGAGGCAAUCGGAAUUCCGUGUGUAGCGGUGAAAUGCGUAGAUAUACGGAGGAACACCAGUGGCGAAGGCGGAUUGCUGGACAGUAACUGACGCUGAGGCGCGAAAGCGUGGGGAGCAAACAGGAUUAGAUACCCCUGUACGA
Molecule: ribosomal RNA, 448 nt
Filed under: uncultured bacterium
Lineage: Bacteria
Description: bacterial SSU rRNA
Rfam family: Bacterial small subunit ribosomal RNA
Source: RNAcentral